Molecule: ribosomal RNA, 424 nt
Filed under: uncultured bacterium
Lineage: Bacteria
Description: partial 16S ribosomal RNA
Rfam family: Bacterial small subunit ribosomal RNA
Source: RNAcentral
GAAUAUUGGACAAUGGGCGAAAGCCUGAUCCAGCCAUGCCGCGUGUGUGAAGAAGGUCUUCGGAUUGUAAAGCACUUUAAGUUGGGAGGCAGGGCAGUAAGCGAAUACCUUGCUGUUUUGACGUUACCGACAGACUAAGCACCGGCUGACUCUGUGCCCGAAUCCGCGGUAAUACCGAGGGUGCAAGCGUUAAACGGAAUUACUGGGCGUAAAGCGCGCGUAGGUGGUUCGUUAAGUUGGAUGUGAAAUCACCGGGCUCAACCUGGGAACUGCAUCCAAAACUGGCGAGCUAGAGUAGGGCAGAGGGUGGUGGAAUUUCCUGUGUAGCGGUGAAAUGCGUAGAUAUAGGAAGGAACACAAGUGGCGAAGGCGACCACCUGGGCUCAUACUGACACUGAGGUGCGAAAGCGUGGGGAGCAAACAG